UACGGGAGGCAGCAGUGGGGAAUAUUGCACAAUGGGCGCAAGCCUGAUGCGGCCAUGCCGCGUGUAUGAAGAAGGCCUUCGGGUUGUAAAGUACUUUCAGUCGUGAGGAAGGUGUUAAGGUUAAUAACCUUAGCAAUUGACGUUAGCGACAGAAGAAGCACCGGCUAACUCCGUGCCAGCAGCCGCGGUAAUACGGAGGGUGCGAGCGUUAAUCGGAAUUACUGGGCGUAAAGGGCACGCAGGCGGUUAAUUAAGUUGGAUGUGAAAUCCCCGGGCUUAACCUGGGAAUGGCAUUCAAGACUGGUUAGCUAGAGUCUUGUAGAGGGGGUAGAAUUCCAUGUGUAGCGGUGAAAUGCGUAGAGAUGUGGAGGAAUACCGGUGGCGAAGGCGGCCCCUGGACAAAGACUGACGCUCAUGUGCGAAAGCGUGGGGAGCAAAC
RNAcentral lists this ribosomal RNA (439 nucleotides) under uncultured bacterium. RNAcentral's name for it is "bacterial SSU rRNA". It matches the Rfam family "Bacterial small subunit ribosomal RNA", at positions 340 to 773 of the family's 1533-position model. The record is from RNAcentral.